CUGACCUCAAAUCGGGUGAGACUACCCGCUGAACUUAAGC
RNAcentral lists this ribosomal RNA (40 nucleotides) under Russula sp. H40. Its description in RNAcentral is "partial 28S ribosomal RNA". The record is from RNAcentral. Lineage: Eukaryota; Fungi; Basidiomycota; Agaricomycetes; Russulales; Russulaceae.